Molecule: microRNA precursor, 73 nt
Filed under: Myotis brandtii (Brandt's bat)
Lineage: Eukaryota; Metazoa; Chordata; Mammalia; Chiroptera; Vespertilionidae
Description: mir-9193 microRNA precursor family
Rfam family: mir-9193 microRNA precursor family
Source: Rfam by way of RNAcentral
CUCAGGGAGCGGGGUCCCUUAGCCUGGAUCGCGAGAGGGUGCAGGCCAGGCCAAGGGCCCCCACCAGUGCACA